This 228-nucleotide ribosomal RNA is filed under the name uncultured bacterium. RNAcentral describes it as "partial 16S ribosomal RNA". It matches the Rfam family "Bacterial small subunit ribosomal RNA", at positions 524 to 751 of the family's 1533-position model. The record is from RNAcentral.
UACGGGGGGAGCAAGAGUUGUUCGGAUAUACUGGGCGUAAAGCGCACGUAGGCGGCGCAGCAAGUCAGGGGUGAAAUCCCGGAGCUCAACUCCGGAACUGCCCUUGAAACUGCAGUGCUAGAAUCCUGGAGAGGCGAGUGGAAUUCCGAGUGUAGAGGUGAAAUUCGUAGAUAUUCGGAAGAACACCAGUGGCGAAGGCGACUCGCUGGACAGGUAUUGACGCUGAGG